This 468-nucleotide ribosomal RNA is filed under the name uncultured bacterium. RNAcentral describes it as "partial 16S ribosomal RNA". It matches the Rfam family "Bacterial small subunit ribosomal RNA", at positions 28 to 507 of the family's 1533-position model. The record is from RNAcentral.
GACGAACGCUGGCGGCGUGCUUAACACAUGCAAGUCGAACGGAAAGGCCCUGCUUUUGUGGGGUGCUCGAGUGGCGAACGGGUGAGUAACACGUGAGUAACCUGCCCUUGACUUUGGGAUAACUUCAGGAAACUGGGGCUAAUACCGGAUAGGAGCUCCUGCUGCAUGGUGGGGGUUGGAAAGUUUCGGCGGUUGGGGAUGGAAUGGCGGCUUAUCAGCUUGUUUGUGGGGUAGUGGCUUACCAAGGCUUUGACGGGUAGCCGGCCUGGGAGGGUGACCGGCCACAUUGGGCCUGAGAUACGGCCCAGACUCCUACGGGCGGCAGCAGUGGGGAAUAUUGCACAAUGGGCGGAAGCCUGAUGCAGCAACGCCGCGUGCGGGAUGACGGCCUUCGGGUUGUAAACCGCUUUCGCAUGUGACGAAGCGUGAGUGACGGUAAUGGGUAAAGAAGCACCGGCUAACUACGUG